UGGGGAAUAUUGGGCAAUGGGCGCAAGCCUGACCCAGCAACGCCGCGUGAAGGAAGAAGGCUUUCGGGUUGUAAACUUCUUUUGAGGGGGACGAAAGAAAUGACGGUACCCUUUGAAUAAGCCACGGCUAACUACGUGCUAGCAGCCGCGGUAAUACGUAGGUGGCAAGCGUUAUCCGGAUUUAUUGGGUGUAAAGGGCGUGUAGGCGGGACUGCAAGUCAGAUGUGAAAACUCAGGGCUCAACCCUGAGCCUGCAUUUGAAACUGUAGUUCUUGAGUGCUGGAGAGGCAAUCGGAAUUCCGUGUGUAGCGGUGAAAUGCGUAGACAUACGGAGGAACACCAGUGACGAAGGCGGAUUGCUGGACAGUAACUGACGCUGAGGCGCGAAAGCGUGGGGAGCAAACAGG
This 407-nucleotide ribosomal RNA is filed under the name uncultured bacterium. RNAcentral describes it as "bacterial SSU rRNA". It matches the Rfam family "Bacterial small subunit ribosomal RNA", at positions 355 to 776 of the family's 1533-position model. The record is from RNAcentral.